CUCAAUUAAAUUUGAUGUGCCAGAGAUAGUUCCUACAUUUCCCUUAGCUUUGAUUAGUUGUGAAAAAUAUUUCUUACUUUGAAGGAUUGUAUGAGUUGUUGCACUGUCUGCUAAACAUAUAUCCUCCAUAUCCAUUAAAGAUGGUCUGACACAUAUAAAAACAUAAAUAAGAAAAGUUACAUUUCAAAUAUAAUUUUAUUCAUGAGAAACACAUAUCACAUAUAGAAUGAAAACUAAUAAUAUUAUACAUGCAGGAUGUUUAAUUAAAAUAAGAAAUUAAAC
RNAcentral lists this long non-coding RNA (282 nucleotides) under Panax ginseng (ginseng). RNAcentral describes it as "long non-coding RNA (PGIN_LNC015533)". The record is from RNAcentral. Lineage: Eukaryota; Viridiplantae; Streptophyta; Magnoliopsida; Apiales; Araliaceae.